RNAcentral lists this ribosomal RNA (2858 nucleotides) under Escherichia coli. RNAcentral's name for it is "partial 23S ribosomal RNA". It matches the Rfam family "Bacterial large subunit ribosomal RNA". Lineage: Bacteria; Pseudomonadati; Pseudomonadota; Gammaproteobacteria; Enterobacterales; Enterobacteriaceae. The record is from RNAcentral.
UGCUAAUCUGCGAUAAGCGUCGGUGAGGUGAUAUGAACCGUUAUAACCGGCGAUUUCCGAAUGGGGAAACCCAGUGUGUUUCGACACACUAUCAUUAACUGAAUCCAUAGGUUAAUGAGGCGAACCGGGGGAACUGAAACAUCUAAGUACCCCGAGGAAAAGAAAUCAACCGAGAUUCCCCCAGUAGCGGCGAGCGAACGGGGAGGAGCCCAGAGCCUGAAUCAGUGUGUGUGUUAGUGGAAGCGUCUGGAAAGGCGCGCGAUACAGGGUGACAGCCCCGUACACAAAAAUGCACAUGCUGUGAGCUCGAUGAGUAGGGCGGGACACGUGGUAUCCUGUCUGAAUAUGGGGGGACCAUCCUCCAAGGCUAAAUACUCCUGACUGACCGAUAGUGAACCAGUACCGUGAGGGAAAGGCGAAAAGAACCCCGGCGAGGGGAGUGAAAAAGAACCUGAAACCGUGUACGUACAAGCAGUGGGAGCCUCUUAAUGGGGUGACUGCGUACCUUUUGUAUAAUGGGUCAGCGACUUAUAUUCUGUAGCAAGGUUAACCGAAUAGGGGAGCCGAAGGGAAACCGAGUCUUAACUGGGCGUUAAGUUGCAGGGUAUAGACCCGAAACCCGGUGAUCUAGCCAUGGGCAGGUUGAAGGUUGGGUAACACUAACUGGAGGACCGAACCGACUAAUGUUGAAAAAUUAGCGGAUGACUUGUGGCUGGGGGUGAAAGGCCAAUCAAACCGGGAGAUAGCUGGUUCUCCCCGAAAGCUAUUUAGGUAGCGCCUCGUGAAUUCAUCUCCGGGGGUAGAGCACUGUUUCGGCAAGGGGGUCAUCCCGACUUACCAACCCGAUGCAAACUGCGAAUACCGGAGAAUGUUAUCACGGGAGACACACGGCGGGUGCUAACGUCCGUCGUGAAGAGGGAAACAACCCAGACCGCCAGCUAAGGUCCCAAAGUCAUGGUUAAGUGGGAAACGAUGUGGGAAGGCCCAGACAGCCAGGAUGUUGGCUUAGAAGCAGCCAUCAUUUAAAGAAAGCGUAAUAGCUCACUGGUCGAGUCGGCCUGCGCGGAAGAUGUAACGGGGCUAAACCAUGCACCGAAGCUGCGGCAGCGACACUAUGUGUUGUUGGGUAGGGGAGCGUUCUGUAAGCCUGUGAAGGUGGCCUGUGAGGGUUGCUGGAGGUAUCAGAAGUGCGAAUGCUGACAUAAGUAACGAUAAAGCGGGUGAAAAGCCCGCUCGCCGGAAGACCAAGGGUUCCUGUCCAACGUUAAUCGGGGCAGGGUGAGUCGACCCCUAAGGCGAGGCCGAAAGGCGUAGUCGAUGGGAAACAGGUUAAUAUUCCUGUACUUGGUGUUACUGCGAAGGGGGGACGGAGAAGGCUAUGUUGGCCGGGCGACGGUUGUCCCGGUUUAAGCGUGUAGGCUGGUUUUCCAGGCAAAUCCGGAAAAUCAAGGCUGAGGCGUGAUGACGAGGCACUACGGUGCUGAAGUGACAAAUGCCCUGCUUCCAGGAAAAGCCUCUAAGCAUCAGGUAACAUCAAAUCGUACCCCAAACCGACACAGGUGGUCAGGUAGAGAAUACCAAGGCGCUUGAGAGAACUCGGGUGAAGGAACUAGGCAAAAUGGUGCCGUAACUUCGGGAGAAGGCACGCUGAUAUGUAGGUGAAGCGACUUGCUCGUGGAGCUGAAAUCAGUCGAAGAUACCAGCUGGCUGCAACUGUUUAUUAAAAACACAGCACUGUGCAAACACGAAAGUGGACGUAUACGGUGUGACGCCUGCCCGGUGCCGGAAGGUUAAUUGAUGGGGUUAGCGGUAACGCGAAGCUCUUGAUCGAAGCCCCGGUAAACGGCGGCCGUAACUAUAACGGUCCUAAGGUAGCGAAAUUCCUUGUCGGGUAAGUUCCGACCUGCACGAAUGGCGUAAUGAUGGCCAGGCUGUCUCCACCCGAGACUCAGUGAAAUUGAACUCGCUGUGAAGAUGCAGUGUACCCGCGGCAAGACGGAAAGACCCCGUGAACCUUUACUAUAGCUUGACACUGAACAUUGAGCCUUGAUGUGUAGGAUAGGUGGGAGGCUUUGAAGUGUGGACGCCAGUCUGCAUGGAGCCGACCUUGAAAUACCACCCUUUAAUGUUUGAUGUUCUAACGUUGGCCCGUAAUCCGGGUUGCGGACAGUGUCUGGUGGGUAGUUUGACUGGGGCGGUCUCCUCCUAAAGAGUAACGGAGGAGCACGAAGGUUGGCUAAUCCUGGUCGGACAUCAGGAGGUUAGUGCAAUGGCAUAAGCCAGCUUGACUGCGAGCGUGACGGCGCGAGCAGGUGCGAAAGCAGGUCAUAGUGAUCCGGUGGUUCUGAAUGGAAGGGCCAUCGCUCAACGGAUAAAAGGUACUCCGGGGAUAACAGGCUGAUACCGCCCAAGAGUUCAUAUCGACGGCGGUGUUUGGCACCUCGAUGUCGGCUCAUCACAUCCUGGGGCUGAAGUAGGUCCCAAGGGUAUGGCUGUUCGCCAUUUAAAGUGGUACGCGAGCUGGGUUUAGAACGUCGUGAGACAGUUCGGUCCCUAUCUGCCGUGGGCGCUGGAGAACUGAGGGGGGCUGCUCCUAGUACGAGAGGACCGGAGUGGACGCAUCACUGGUGUUCGGGUUGUCAUGCCAAUGGCACUGCCCGGUAGCUAAAUGCGGAAGAGAUAAGUGCUGAAAGCAUCUAAGCACGAAACUUGCCCCGAGAUGAGUUCUCCCUGACUCCUUGAGAGUCCUGAAGGAACGUUGAAGACGACGACGUUGAUAGGCCGGGUGUGUAAGCGCAGCGAUGCGUUGAGCUAACCGGUACUAAUGAACCGUGAGGCUUAACCUUACAACGCCGAAG